UGUUGAAGAGGACUCGUGCAGACACGCCGAUGGUGAUGGCAUUCUCCGGCUUGGGCUUGAAGAGAAGAGAAGAGGUGACAUGAUGAAGAAGCCAAACUGAACACAGCGAUGUAGCAAGUCCAGGAGGCCAAAAACCCAACUGUUUUCUUCCUCAUCUACCAAAGUGCAGAGGUACGAGAUUCAUCACAGUAACAGCAAGGGGAUCUUGACAGUUGCGAAAGUUUAUCCUCCUACUUCCCAAGAACACAGAUGCACUUCAUGUGUUGCUCAACUACAAGUUUGUUAAGAGCUGUGUUGGGUUUGGACUGAAUACAACAGACUACAGACUAUAAGAGGAUCCCCACCAACGGCAUAUGCCAAGCGGUCAGUCAGACCAGAGAGGAGAAAUUAAACCGAAAGUGCCACGAGAAGAGAAUGAGGAGAGCCAGCAUCAGGGCGAGGCUGACCCGACUUGGACCGAGAGAAGCUCCUCUACCGAGGCCUCUUCUGGCUAUAUCCAGUCACAGGACAAUAAAGUAGAUGAGAUGCAAGUGAGGCUCACUCAGCAAUGGGAAACCAAAGACUGCUCUGCACACAGAGACAUGGUUAACCCCUAACAUCCUGGAUCAAGCUGUUGCACCGGAUGGUCAGACUUUGUUCAGAGCCGGCAGGACACAAGACUCCUAUGAAAAUUUCAAAAAUGCACUGCAGAAAGUGGAUGCCUUUUUCAUAGA
Plectropomus leopardus (leopard coralgrouper) is the source of this 713-nucleotide long non-coding RNA. RefSeq lists it as uncharacterized. The record is from RefSeq and is a predicted model, not a curated record. Lineage: Eukaryota; Metazoa; Chordata; Actinopteri; Perciformes; Serranidae.